This 253-nucleotide ribosomal RNA is filed under the name uncultured bacterium. RNAcentral describes it as "partial 16S ribosomal RNA". It matches the Rfam family "Bacterial small subunit ribosomal RNA", at positions 524 to 776 of the family's 1533-position model. The record is from RNAcentral.
UACAGAGGGGGCAAGCGUUGUCCGGAUUUACUGGGCGUACAGCUCGCGCAGGCGGCCGGCUACGUGCCGUGUGACAUACGGAAGCUCAACUUCCGGGGGCCACGGUACACGGGUCGGCUGGAGGCAGGGAGAGGGAUGUGGAAUACCCGGUGGAGCGGUUAAAUGCGUAGAGAUCGGGUGGAACACCAGCGGCGAAGGCGGCAUCCUGGCCCUGUACUGACGCUGAGGCGCGAGAGCGUGGGGAGCGAACCGG